CUGCAUCUUUGACAGCCUGGGCUCUCUGCUGUGGGAUAUCCUGGGUUUUACUAAUUCAGAUGCAAUAUUAAAUGUCCCUGCGCUUUCUGCCUGCCUAUUUUCCAUGGCUGCUCGGAUUGAAUCAGGGAGGACAAAU
Larimichthys crocea (large yellow croaker) is the source of this 136-nucleotide small nucleolar RNA. The record is from Ensembl. NCBI's taxonomy places the organism in Eukaryota, Metazoa, Chordata, Actinopteri, Sciaenidae.